RNAcentral lists this ribosomal RNA (406 nucleotides) under uncultured bacterium. RNAcentral describes it as "partial 16S ribosomal RNA". It matches the Rfam family "Bacterial small subunit ribosomal RNA", at positions 30 to 526 of the family's 1533-position model. The record is from RNAcentral.
AUUGAACGCUGGCGGCAGGCUUAACACAUGCAAGUCGAGCGAGCGGCGGACGGGUGAGUCAUGUCUGGGAAACUGCCUGAUGGAGGGGGAUAACUACUGGACACGGUAGCUAAUACCGCCUACCAUCAGCUGUGCCCAUAUGGGAUUAGCUAGUAGGUGGGGUAAUGGCUCACCUAGGCCACGAUCCCUAGCUGGUCUGAGAGGAUGACCAGCCACACGGGAACUGAGACACGGUCCAGACUCCGACGGGAGGCAGCAGUGGGGAAUAGUGCACAAGGGGCGCAAGCCUGAUGCAGCCAGGCCGCGUGUGUGAAGAAGGCCUUCGGGUUGUAAAGUACUUUCAGCGAGGAGGCGUUACUCGCAGAAGAAGCACCGGCUAACUCCGUGCCAGCAGCCGCGGUAAUUC